RNAcentral lists this ribosomal RNA (207 nucleotides) under uncultured bacterium. RNAcentral describes it as "partial 16S ribosomal RNA". It matches the Rfam family "Bacterial small subunit ribosomal RNA", at positions 568 to 774 of the family's 1533-position model. The record is from RNAcentral.
CGCGCAGGCGGAUUAUUAAGCCAGAUGUGAAAUCUCGGGGCUCAACCCCGAAACUGCGUCUGGAACUGGUAAUCUAGAGUUAUGGAGGGGAGAGCGGAAUUUCGCAUGUAGGGGUAAAAUCCGUAGAGAUGCGAAGGAACACCAGAGCCGAAGGGGGCUCUCUGGCCAUCAACUGACGCUGAGGCGCGAAAGCGUGGGGAGCAAACA